GAUGAAGAACGUAGUGAAAUGCGAUAAGUAGUGUGAAUUGCAGAAUUCAGUGAAUCAUCGAAUCUUUGAACGCACAUUGCGCCCUUUGGUAUUCCAAAGGGCAUGCCUGUUCGAGCGUCAUUUGUACCCUCAAGCUUUGCUUGGUGUUGGGCGUCUCGUCUCUAGCUUUGCUGGAGACUCGCCUUAAAGUAAUUGGCAGCCGGCCUACUGGUUUCGGAGCGCAGCACAAGUCGCACUCUCUAUCAGCAAAGGUCUAGCAUCCAUUAAGCCUUUUUUUCAACUUUUGACCUCGGAUCAGGUAGGGAUACCCGCUGAACUUAAGCAUAUCAAUAAGCGGAGGA
Molecule: unclassified non-coding RNA, 341 nt
Filed under: soil metagenome
Description: partial contains 5.8S ribosomal RNA, internal transcribed spacer 2, and large subunit ribosomal RNA
Rfam family: 5.8S ribosomal RNA (bases 1-120)
Source: RNAcentral